RNAcentral lists this non-coding RNA (811 nucleotides) under Catacanthus incarnatus. The record is from RNAcentral. Lineage: Eukaryota; Metazoa; Arthropoda; Insecta; Hemiptera; Pentatomidae.
UAUAUUGAAAUUUGAUUUUGGUUUAAUUUAAAUAGUUUAAAGGUAAUUAUGAUAUGUAAGUAUUUGCGUGUUUUUGUGAUUUUAAUUUAUAAUUUUAAUAAUUUUAUAUUAUUGUUUUAUUCGCAGUCUAUAUUUUUAUAUAAUUCACUAAAGUGAGAUAUGGUUAAUUUUUAUUUGACUAGCAAAAAUUGUGCCAGCAGCUGCGGUUAUACAUUUAGUUGGAAUUAUUUAUAUUUGAAUGUUAUUUUGAUUUGUUUUUUAAUUGAUUAAUUAUUUUUAUUUAUUUUAAAGUGAAAUUUUAAAUUUUAAUUUAUAAUUUGGUAUAAAUAUUAUAAGAAAUUCUUAUUUAUAAACUAGGAUUAGAUACCCUAUUAUAGAGAAUGUAAAAUGUUUUCUCAGUAUUAUAAGUUAAGAUCUUUAAAUUGAAAAAAUUUGACGGUAAUUUAAUCAUUUUAGAGGAACCUGUUCUAUAAUUGAUAAUCCACGAUGAAUUUUACCUUAAUUUUUAGUUUGUAUAUCUCUGUUUGAUUGAAUGUUUUAUUAGGAGAUUUUCUAUUUAUUUUUUAUUUGUGAAAUUUAUGUCAGGUCAAGGUGCAGCUAUAUUAAGGUUUGAAAUGGGUUACAUUUAAUUAAUUAUUUUUGGAUUAAAUUAUUUGUAUUAUAUUUAUGAAAUUGGAUUUAAUUGUAAUGUACAAUAUAUAUUGUACAUGAUAUAUGUUCUUGAUUAAGUACACAUCGCCCGUCACUCUCAUUAAUAAGGUGAGAUAAGUCGUAACAAAGUAGUCCUAUCGGAAGAUGGGUCUGGAAUUAU